AAAACGACUCUCGGCAACGGAUAUCUCGGCUCUCGCAUCGAUGAAGAACGUAGCGAAAUGCGAUACUUGGUGUGAAUUGCAAAAUCCCGUGAACCAUCGAGUUUUUGAACGCAAGUUGCGCCCAAAGCCAUUAGGCUAAGGGCACGUCUGCCUGGGCGUCACGC
RNAcentral lists this ribosomal RNA (164 nucleotides) under Ilex goshiensis. RNAcentral's name for it is "5.8S ribosomal RNA". It matches the Rfam family "5.8S ribosomal RNA". Rfam says of the family: 5.8S ribosomal RNA (5.8S rRNA) is a component of the large subunit of the eukaryotic ribosome. It is transcribed by RNA polymerase I as part of the 45S precursor that also contains 18S and 28S rRNA. The record is from RNAcentral. Lineage: Eukaryota; Viridiplantae; Streptophyta; Magnoliopsida; Aquifoliales; Aquifoliaceae.